Molecule: non-coding RNA, 24 nt
Filed under: Arabidopsis thaliana (thale cress)
Lineage: Eukaryota; Viridiplantae; Streptophyta; Magnoliopsida; Brassicales; Brassicaceae
Source: RNAcentral
GGGCUUAAGGUAGCCUUGCUGUGU